Molecule: long non-coding RNA, 1017 nt
Filed under: Callithrix jacchus (white-tufted-ear marmoset)
Lineage: Eukaryota; Metazoa; Chordata; Mammalia; Primates; Cebidae
Description: lncRNA (ENSCJAG00000056377.2)
Source: RNAcentral
AAUCUUAUUUGCAAAUUUACUUAUUCUUUAAAUUCCUUCUUAAAACAUUAUUUUAUGUUAUUUAAUCUUCAUGAGAUCCUUCAAGAAUUCCCAAUUGUACACAAGAUAACAGUUGGCAGUUAAAUCCCUCCAUCUUAAGGCUGCACAUUCAAUUCAUUCAUUCAUUCAUUCAGGUGUGAAUUCCUUGAUUUAACACAUACACAAAUAAUUAUACAAAUCAUUGUUGAAUGCUGUUUUGUACAGGGAACUGUAUGACGUACUUCUGGAAUUAAAAAAAUGAAUAAGGUACUGUUUUUGCCUUCCAGGAGCUCAGAUGCCCUCACUGCAUCUUGAAUGCACUCAGAUAGGUAGGAUGAUGGUAAGAGUUCAUAUUUACUGACUACCUACUAAGCACUUGGUACUAUUCUUAGUAUUUUGUUUAACUUUUGCAUUUAAUCCUAUAACAGCAUACCUAAGAAGGGACUAUUAUUUCUGACCUCCCUUUAGAGAAAGCAUGGAGACACAUGCUUUUGGCACUUUGCCCAAGAUCAGGGAGUUAUAAGAGCUGGAGCUGGAUAGAAGCCUGGUGUACACCUCUCUGACCAUUACUUCACCGGGCCACCUGGCAUCUGUAGAGGAGCUUCUGAGCACCUGUGAUCUGAUGGAGAGCAUGGCAGAAGCAGCUGGAUGCCAGACACUGAGGAGAUGCCUGAGUCUGACAAGUGGAAAGAGAAUGUAAAGUUUUAUGAAGACGAAACUAUUUUGCUUAUCAUCCUGUUUCCUAGUGCCUACAAGAGUGUCUAACAUUAAAUGGGUGCUCACAUUUGGUAAGUAUUUGUGAAGGAAUAAAUACUGCAACCCAUAAAAAGAAUGAAUAGUCAUGCAGAUCCAGAUAUGGGGAAGGCUUCCAAAAUAUAACAUUAUGGCGGGAGGGAAAGCAAGUUGCAAGGCAAUCUAUAUAUAUAUAUCAUGAUCCCCCUUUCAUAUCCAAAAGUUUGCAUAUGCAGUGAAAAAUGUCUGAAAAGAUACAGAUCAAAG